GCGUGCUUAACACAUGCAAGUCGAACGGAAAGGCCCUGCUUUUGUGGGGUGCUCGAGUGGCGAACGGGUGAGUAACACGUGGGUAACCUGCCCUUGACUUUGGGAUAACUUCAGGAAACUGGGGCUAAUACCGGAUAGGAGCUCCUGCUGCAUGGUGGGGGUUGGAAAGUUUCGACGGUUGGGGAUGGACUCGCGGCUUAUCAGCUUGUUGGUGGGGUAGUGGCUUACCAAGGCUUUGACGGGUAGCCGGCCUGAGAGGGUGACCGGCCACAUUGGGACUGAGAUACGGCCCAGACUCCUACGGGAGGCAGCAGUGGGGAAUAUUGCACAAUGGGCGGAAGCCUGAUGCAGCAACGCCGCGUGCGGGAUGACGGCCUUCGGGUUGUAAACCGCUUUCGCCUGUGACGAAGCGUGAGUGACGGUAAUGGGUAAAGAAGCACCGGCUAACUACGUGCCAGCAGCCGCGGUGAUACGUAGGGUGCGAGCGUUGUCCGGAUUUAUUGGGCGUAAAGGGCUCGUAGGUGGUUGAUCGCGUCGGAAGUGUAAUCUUGGGGCUUAACCCUGAGCGUGCUUUCGAUACGGGUUGACUUGAGGAAGGUAGGGGAGAAUGGAAUUCCUGGUGGAGCGGUGGAAUGCGCAGAUAUCAGGAGGAACACCAGUGGCGAAGGCGGUUCUCUGGGCCUUUCCUGACGCUGAGGAGCGAAAGCGUGGGGAGCGAACAGGCUUAGAUACCCUGGUAGUCCACGCUGUAAACGGUGGGUACUAGGUGUGGGGUCCAUUCCACGGGUUCCGUGCCGUAGCUAACGCUUUAAGUACCCCGCCUGGGGAGUACGGCCGCAAGGCUAAAACUCAAAGGAAUUGACGGGGCCCCGCACAAGCGGCGGAGCAUGCGGAUUAAUUCGAUGCAACGCGUAGAACCUUACCUGGGUUUGACAUGGAUCGGGAGUGCUCAGAGAUGGGUGUGCCUCUUUUGGGGUCGGUUCACAGGUGGUGCAUGGCUGUCGUCAGCUCGUGUCGUGAGAUGUUGGGUUAAGUCCCGCAACGAGCGCAACCCUUGUUCACUGUUGCCAGCACGUUAUGGUGGGGACUCAGUGGAGACCGCCGGGGUCAACUCGGAGGAAGGUGGGGAUGACGUCAAGUCAUCAUGCCCCUUAUGUCCAGGGCUUCACGCAUGCUACAAUGGCUGGUACAGAGAGUGGCGAGCCUGUGAGGGUGAGCGAAUCUCGGAAAGCCGGUCUCAGUUCGGAUUGGGGUCUGCAACUCGACCUCAUGAAGUCGGAGUCGCUAGUAAUCGCAGAUCAGCAACGCUGCGGUGAAUACGUUCCCGGGGCUUGUACACACCGCCCGUCAAGUCAUGAAAGUUGGUAACACCCGAAGCCGGUGGCCUAACCGAAGUGGGGGAGCCGUCGAAGGUGGGACUGGUGAUUA
Molecule: ribosomal RNA, 1428 nt
Filed under: uncultured organism
Description: partial small subunit ribosomal RNA
Rfam family: Bacterial small subunit ribosomal RNA
Source: RNAcentral